UACAGAGGGUGCGAGCGUUAAUCGGAAUUACUGGGCGUAAAGCGUGCGUAGACGGUUAUUUAAGUCGGAUGUGAAAGCCCCGGGCUCAACCUGGGAAUUGCAUUCGAGACUGAAUAGCUAGGGUACGGUAGAGGGAAGUGGAAUUUCCGGUGUAGCGGUGAAAUGCGUAGAUAUCGGAAGGAACAUCAGUGGCGAAAGCGGAUCUCUGGGCCUUACCUGACGCUGAGGCGCGGAAGCUAGGGGAGCAAACAGG
This 253-nucleotide ribosomal RNA is filed under the name uncultured bacterium. RNAcentral's name for it is "partial 16S ribosomal RNA". It matches the Rfam family "Bacterial small subunit ribosomal RNA", at positions 524 to 776 of the family's 1533-position model. The record is from RNAcentral.